UACGAAGGGGGCUAGCGUUGUUCGGAAUUACUGGGCGUAAAGCGCACGUAGGCGGAUACUUAAGUCAGGGGUGAAAUCCCGGGGCUCAACCCCGGAACUGCCUUUGAUACUGGGUAUCUCGAGUCCGGAAGAGGUGAGUGGAAUUCCGAGUGUAGAGGUGAAAUUCGUAGAUAUUCGCAAGAACACCAGUGGCGAAGGCGGCUCACUGGCCCGAUACUGACGCCGAGGCACGAAAGCGUGGGGAGCAAACAGG
This 253-nucleotide ribosomal RNA is filed under the name uncultured bacterium. RNAcentral describes it as "partial 16S ribosomal RNA". It matches the Rfam family "Bacterial small subunit ribosomal RNA", at positions 524 to 776 of the family's 1533-position model. The record is from RNAcentral.